This 313-nucleotide unclassified non-coding RNA is filed under the name Hevea brasiliensis (rubber tree). Lineage: Eukaryota; Viridiplantae; Streptophyta; Magnoliopsida; Malpighiales; Euphorbiaceae. The record is from RNAcentral.
UUUUGUUGUUGACCAAACAAAAGUUGACAUGUUGCUUCAAUUUGGUUUUCAAGAAGCCAUUGCUAAGAAAGCACUAAAGGCAUCUGGUGGUGACAUUGAGAAAGCGACAGAUUGGAUAUUUAACAAUCCCGAAGCUUCUAUGUCAUCAGAACCAGACUGUUUGGACGCCACUACAUCAAGCACACCAACUAACCUCGAUGCUGGGCUGCCCGAUGGUGGAGAGAGAUACAGACUUAUGGGAAUAAUAAGCCACAUUGGAACGUCUACUCAAUGCGGUCACUAUGUUGCGCACAUCUUUAAAGAUGGUAGAUGG